CAUUCACGUAGAGAACGGUGUAGAGACUUUUGACAGAACGGUUCCAAGUCAUAGAGGAGUACAAAGCCCCCUUUACUAGUUUAGAACACUUUUAAUUUCGUAGGUCCUCGAGACUUAGAACACUUUUAGUUUCGUAGGUCCUAGAGACCUAGAACACUUUUAGUUUCGUAGGUCCUAGAGACCUAGAACACUUUUAGUUUCGUUAGUCCUAGAGACUAUUUUGUUUUGUUUUUUUAGUACGACAUUAUAAUCAUCAUAGCUAUAAGAGCUGGAGUCAAACUACCGUACCACGGUACGAGAAUGGUGUUUAGAAUUCGAUGUAAUUCAACAAUUGUAUAACACAAUAUCCGAAUAUCGAAAGAAAGACGUAUAACUGCUAAGGAACCAACCAAAAAUAUACCUAAACGAUUAAACCUCGAAAAAGUUACUAAUUCCCUGAUCUAGAUAGUCGGAUGAAGGACCGGCACCGUCGUGUCUUCCUUCUUGUCGACAGAGCUGUUUUGGGAUAAGCAACCCAAGUACGUUUGCCACUUCGCUGACCCAACGGUGGUUUAAGUAAGCUGCAGCAGAGGGAACGAAUACACACGGUGCUCACAGGUCGUGCUCGUUAUUAGCCUAAUCGCUUCCUUCGUAAGUCUGAUGAGGCGGGUCCUCCUUGUUAGCGGAAUUGGCUGUUGAGAGGUUUUAGUUUUCAUGAGGUCCUUGAUAGUGGGCAAGACAAGUGAGACUACUUUUCGUGGCUUGGCAAGGACCUGCUCAUGAUGUACGACCUAGACCUCCUCCGCGACCCGGUUCGUCCGAAGCAGUUACACACGAGGCACGACUGUCUGGGGUCCGUAUCUUGCCAGUGACGGUGACACGGGAUGACUGAGUAGUGGUACCAAGUGGUUACGUGUUAAAACACAACAUUUGUCAGUGUUUUCGAAUCAUUGAACACUCGGUAAACGUAAGUCCUUCUUUUACUAGGACGUUGAAUUGAUGUCUUUACGUUACAUGAGGGAGGCAAUCACUAGAUUUGCGAGAAUAUAAAGAAAUGCCUUCUUCGUGAUGUACGGUCGGUGGCAAACCAAGCUAGUGCUCCUUUUGUAAACUUCAGACAUUAUUCAUCUUUUUUAUUUAAAGUUGCUC
Molecule: ribosomal RNA, 1128 nt
Filed under: Triticum aestivum (bread wheat)
Lineage: Eukaryota; Viridiplantae; Streptophyta; Magnoliopsida; Poales; Poaceae
Description: partial small subunit ribosomal RNA
Source: RNAcentral